GGUUGACCUCGGAUCAGGUAGGAGUUACCCGCUGAACUUAAGCAUAUCAAUAAGCGGAGGAAAAGAAACCAACCGGGAUUGCCUCAGUAACGGCGAGUGAAGCGGCAAGAGCUCAAAUUUGAAAUCUGGCCCCUCCGGGGUCCGAGUUGUAAUUUGCAGAGGAUGCUUCGGGUGCGGUCCCCGUCUAAGUGCCCUGGAACGGGCCGUCAUAGAGGGUGAGAAUCCCGUCU
This 230-nucleotide ribosomal RNA is filed under the name Talaromyces sp. CMV-2019a. RNAcentral's name for it is "partial 28S ribosomal RNA". It matches the Rfam family "Eukaryotic large subunit ribosomal RNA", at positions 1 to 226 of the family's 3401-position model. The record is from RNAcentral. Lineage: Eukaryota; Fungi; Ascomycota; Eurotiomycetes; Eurotiales; Trichocomaceae.